UGGGGAAUUUUGCACAAUGGGCGAAAGCCUGAUGCAGCAACGCCGCGUGCGGGAUGAAGGCCCUCGGGUUGUAAACCGCUUUCAGCAGGGACGAAUAUGACGGUACCUGCAGAAGAAGCCCCGGCUAACUACGUGCCAGCAGCCGCGGUAAUACGUAGGGGGCAAGCGUUAUCCGGAUUCAUUGGGCGUAAAGAGCGCGUAGGCGGACUGUUAAGUCAGAUGUGAAAACCGGGGGCUCAACCCGCGGCCUGCAUCUGAAACUGGCAGUCUUGAGUCUGGUAGAGGAAAGUGGAAUUCCUGGUGUAGCGGUGAAAUGCGCAGAUAUCAGGAGGAACACCAGUGGCGAAGGCGGCUUUCUGGGCCACGACUGACGCUGAGGCGCGAAAGCUAGGGGAGCGAACAG
This 403-nucleotide ribosomal RNA is filed under the name uncultured bacterium. RNAcentral's name for it is "bacterial SSU rRNA". It matches the Rfam family "Bacterial small subunit ribosomal RNA", at positions 355 to 775 of the family's 1533-position model. The record is from RNAcentral.